GAUGAAGAACGCAGCGAAAUGCGAUAACUAAUGUGAAUUGCAGAAUUCAGUGAAUCAUCGAGUCUUUGAACGCACAUUGCGCCCCCUGGUAUUCCGGGGGGCAUGCCUGUCCGAGCGUCAUUGCUGCCCUCAAGCACGGCUUGUGUGUUGGGCUCCGCCCCCCCGGGGACGGGCCCGAAAGGCAGCGGCGGCACCGAGUCCGGUCCUCGAGCGUAUGGGGCUUUGUCACCCGCUCUGUAGGCCCGGCCGGCGCCAGCCGACAACCCAUCAUCCUUUUCAGGUUGACCUCGGAUCAGGUAGGGAUACCCGCUGAAUUUAAGCAUAUCAAUAAGCGGAGGA
This 339-nucleotide unclassified non-coding RNA is filed under the name soil metagenome. Its description in RNAcentral is "partial contains 5.8S ribosomal RNA, internal transcribed spacer 2, and large subunit ribosomal RNA". The stretch from base 1 to 120 matches the Rfam family "5.8S ribosomal RNA", at positions 35 to 154 of the family's 154-position model. The record is from RNAcentral.